Molecule: unclassified non-coding RNA, 40 nt
Filed under: Latilactobacillus sakei
Lineage: Bacteria; Bacillati; Bacillota; Bacilli; Lactobacillales; Lactobacillaceae
Description: Lactobacillus sakei ctRNA_pT181
Source: RNAcentral
AUAGACAACUAUUGUUAUUGACAGUUAUUUUAAACUAAAA